Molecule: unclassified non-coding RNA, 224 nt
Filed under: Hevea brasiliensis (rubber tree)
Lineage: Eukaryota; Viridiplantae; Streptophyta; Magnoliopsida; Malpighiales; Euphorbiaceae
Source: RNAcentral
GCAAAGGAAAUAGUGGUUUUUCAUCAAGUUGAGAAGAGCUACGCAAGCUGAUAUCUGGAUCUCUCUCGGGGGAUUCAGAUCCAGGGAGACCUAGCCUCAGUUCUGUAGCCUUGAGAUUCAGCGAGAGUUUGUUCCCAUCAGAAUUUGUGGCAGUCAUACAGCUGUCCUCUGAGGAAGAAUCAGAUAAUCCCAUGUAAUUACGCUCUUCAAAUCCCAAAUUGUUU